GUUUGCCCGCCCAGUUUACCCACCCACUUUCAUUUAUAUAGCUCUACCUGUCUCAUUCUCCCCGCAGAUUAUCAACAGGACGCUUUCUGACAGAUUCAGAUCUCGUAUCACGACAUCACACCAUUAUGCUCUGCUCCUGUCCUGAGGUCCUGUAUGCCACAUAACAUAAUGGCUAAAUCGCAAGUGACCAAGCCUGCCCAAAGGACAAACAGCAUCAAGAUAAAAAUUAAUUUUCAGAAACUGUGCCUUCAACGAGCAGUUCCUUCUGACUUCCAUGCUGUCCAUUCAAAUGAUCAGGCAGAGACCUCACUUCAAUGCUCUGUUAAAAAAAGGCCAUGAUUUCCAGAUUAUGAUGGAGGAGCAGACAUCUGUCACAGAGUCCAGUGGGCAUGAGCCUCCCUAAUAGGAGAUGUUCAUGUGACAAACCAGAUGACAGGGUUAUUGUUGUUAAAAAUGUCCACACUUGAGUCUUGAUGCUCCAAUAACUGAUCCCUGUUGUUUGUUUUUGCCUUUACAUUUCAUGGUUUUGUUUUCAUGUUUCAGUAUUAUUAUCUUGUAUUUAUGUUUGUAUUACUUUAACCAUAUACAUUUCUUAUUAUUGUACAGCAAGUUCAGUUCUUAAAUGGGGGGUUUCUUCAGAACAAUAAAUGUAUUGUAUAAUUAUAA
Long non-coding RNA from Polypterus senegalus (gray bichir), 666 nucleotides. RefSeq lists it as uncharacterized. The transcript has 3 exons. NCBI's taxonomy places the organism in Eukaryota, Metazoa, Chordata, Cladistia, Polypteriformes, Polypteridae. The record is from RefSeq and is a predicted model, not a curated record.